Molecule: unclassified non-coding RNA, 1859 nt
Filed under: Daphnia magna
Lineage: Eukaryota; Metazoa; Arthropoda; Branchiopoda; Diplostraca; Daphniidae
Description: mTOR-associated protein MEAK7, transcript variant X1
Source: RNAcentral
GAGCAACGUUUGAAACACAGAUUCAUAGACUUCGACCUGCUUCGACGUAUGAGAGUUGAGAGGGACGGACGUAGAAGGUAUUUUGUGUGUUACUGGUAUUUAAUUUCCAGCCGUUCAUGUCAAGAUGAAAGAUAAGAGUUAGAGUUCUAGGGCACUACUAUAGCUUAAGAGACGUUUGUCAUAGAUCUUUGUGAAAAACUCCGUAUAUACUUAACUUGUGACUUAAAAAAUCAUCAUUGAAAGAUGGCUCAUCAGUUCUUAAUGAACAUGAUGGGAUUAGGUGAAAGCAAAGAAUUCAAUCAAGAAUUGGCACAAUUUCCCUCUGAAGAAAAAGAGAUUCUUAACAAUACUUUCUUGCAGCUAUCAUCUGGUAAUAAGAAAAUUGAUAGACCAACUGUAGAGAAUGCCCUGAAACAAUUACUCCCACUACCAGAAGUAGAUGUUUUGGCACAUCGUAUUUGUGACCUGAUGACUGGCCAAAUAUCAACAAAUAAUACUGUUACUUUUGAGGGUUACAUUCACUGUGCAGCUGUAAUGAUCAAUGGAAUGCUUGAAGAUAAAGCAACUCAGCUUAUAUAUAUGGCCAAAGGAAGGAGAGGUGCAGCUACAUACGAAGAAUUAUUUUAUUUUUCAACGCAAAUAAUUCGACUAGCUUUUCAAAUCAUCCGGAAACUUCCGUCUUUUCGCUCUUGGGAUGGAAAUUAUAUGUGCAGUUUAGAAGACGAUUCCAUUAAUCGUUUGGCGGCGGCCAUAAUGAAUGAACUCAAGAGCACUAAAAUGGAGAGCUUCGAUAAUCAGGCGGUUUGUGCUUGGCUUUCAGGGAGCAGCUUGUUAAAUGAAUUUCAUGGGAUGCUCGCGGGUCACAUUUUCCACUUCCCAUUGACCAAAGGAAAGUCACUUAUUCCUCUUUGCCGAGGGAUACCAGCUCAAGUAUAUCCUUCGUGGUUGUCACUUUCCGAUAUACUUUUUAUUAAUUGUGCCCUACCACACGAGUUCCGAAGUGAAUGGAGAUUAUUGUUUUCUAGCCGCAUACAUGGGGAAAGCUUUUCUAGCCUCAUGGGUAACAUUAUUGAUAAAGGACCAAGUGUGGUUUUCGUUAAAGACUUUGAUGGCCAUAUAUUUGGUGGGUUUGCUUCAACUAGCUGGAAUAUUGGACCACAGUUUAAAGGCACAAAGGAUAAUUUCAUCUUCUCUUUGGCACCUGAAAUGGCCUUAUACAAUUCAACAGGCUUCAAUGAUCACUAUCAGUAUUUAAACAUUCAGCAACAGACUUUCCCAAAUGGAAUGGGAAUGGGCGGCCAGUUGGAUUAUUUUGCUAUCUGGAUUGAUUCUGAAUACGGAAAAGGCAAAUGUUCACCAAGUUGCACGACAUUCAACUGCCCUCAGUUAUCGGGCAAGCCAGAGUUCUCCAUCGAUAUGGUCGAAGUUUGGGCCGUUGGUCCAGAACCAACUGAUGAUGAAUCCGUGACUAAAAGUGACAUGGCUGGAAGCGUACUGGACACCAACCGCGAGGGCAGAGCCAUGCUCGAUAUAAUGGGCAAAGAGAGACAUAGCGAAGGACUGCGUGAGCCAGUAGAUGAAGAUUGACCUCUGUCUGGGUCAAGCACGUAGACGCUGAGACGAGACCAAGCAUACUGGACGUAGAUGUAGAAGGAACAGCCAUGCUUAGAAUGUUAAAUCGAGGCCCAGUUUCAGAAGGAAUGCGAGAUAACCCUACAUCUGCUGAUCCCGAAGAAAAAGAACUUUAUGUGUCAUCCAUUUCAAACUGAAAGCUUCAAGAGCCUACAAUUGAUGCGCCACAACAAUUCCAUUUUUUAUCGCCAAAAGAGCUGAGAUUUUUCUAUUUUUUCCUUACAUCG